Molecule: ribosomal RNA, 903 nt
Filed under: Triticum aestivum (bread wheat)
Lineage: Eukaryota; Viridiplantae; Streptophyta; Magnoliopsida; Poales; Poaceae
Description: partial small subunit ribosomal RNA
Source: RNAcentral
AUGGCCGCGCGGCGUCGCUCCCUCCUCAUGCUCCUGCCCCUCCUCCUCUCCCACUUCCUCUCCCUCGCCGCCGCCUUCCAGUCGGACGAGCUGCUCCUCCACGACGACGACGAGUUCGAGGGCACCCGGGUCUCCUCCACCCCCUCCCCCCGGCCGCCCUCGACGCCGCCGGUAGUGUCCUCCCGCCGCCGAUCCGCGGACGCGACGCAGGCGGCUGGCGCCUCCGAGUCCAACACCGUCCAGUUCACCCUCGAGCACGACCUCGGAGCCGGCCUAGGGUUCGCCCCCGCCGGGUCCUUCUCCGCCCGCCUCAAGUCCUCGGCCCACGGCUCCCAGACUCUCACUAAGCUCCGGUUUACGAGGAAUGAGUUGACUGAGGAUGAAAAGAAUGCAUUUAAGAAAUUACUUGAAGAAGAUAGUUUUUACACAAUAAGGCUACCGUCUAAUGUGUUGGAUCCUACAAGAAACGAUUAUAUUUAUUCCUCGAUCAAAGCGAGAUGCAUUCCACGUGACAGCUUGGAUGAACAUAUUGUCAUCCACAUGGACGGUGUAAAUAUUUUGGCUGUUAAUUAUGGUUCCGUCGGUGGAUGCCAAUAUCCCCGGCCAAUGAAAGUACCGUCAAAAUGGACAUUCAAUUCAUACACUAUUCUGAAGACUGCUGACCAAGCACCAAGAACUCCAUCAUUUGUAGAGCAAUUAAUAGAAACUGAGAGUGGACUCGGUGAAGUGAUGAAACCACCUGAGAAAUCUUUCUGGGCUAAAUAUUGGAUGUACAUCAUUCCUCUUGGUCUCAUUGUCAUGAACGCUGUCACAGCAGCAGCAAACAUACCGGAGGAGCAAGCUGGAGGGCAGGGUCAAGCUCCAGCACAAAGGGCGCCAAUUGCUGCUCCAAGGAGAAGAUGA